This 1325-nucleotide long non-coding RNA is filed under the name Anas platyrhynchos platyrhynchos (common mallard). Its description in RNAcentral is "lncRNA (ENSAPLG00000026305.1)". The record is from RNAcentral. Lineage: Eukaryota; Metazoa; Chordata; Aves; Anseriformes; Anatidae.
GUGGGAAAUAAGUCAAAAAGACUUUCCUGGUCAUAAAAACAAUAAUCUGAAGAGCUACUGGUCAGAUUUUUGUCUCUAAACUCUUGGUGACCUUCUCUGUAACUUCACGGCUUAUUCUGGUUCAAUAUCCAAGAAUUACAUUGUGAGAUUUUGACUUUAAUAAUAACCUUUUAUCUUUUUCAUUUUUUUUAAUAGAAAUGAACACUCUUCUGCACUUAUCUCAUUUUGCCUUUAAUUAAUGCCACAUUCCUAAAUAUUUUUUAUCUCAUGUAUUUUAAGUCCAAAAUUAUGCUUUACAAAAAUGUUGUCUGCAUUUCCCAAAUGUUCAUCUUUGCUAUUUAAUCUUGUAAUGGAAAAUUUUGAACCAGGCCUUUGUGUUUCAUUAUUGAUUUCACUGACUUCUAUUAAAAUAUAGCUUUAACAUGAAGGAAGGGGGGAGGGAUGAGAAAUCAGUGUAAGAAAGGGUGGUAUGCCAGCCAGAAAUAAUCAGUAUGAGAAUCAAAGGGAGAAGGGAGGAUUUAGAUGACAGCUGGAGUUUUGAGGGGGCGGUGAGGAAGCAGCACAUGGUGUGCAGUCAGACGUCUGUGGAAAUAGGAGGUAGGAGACAUGCAGAAUGGCAGGAGAGUGGGCACCAAAAGGUCAGCCAGUAGCUGACAAGGUAGAAAGAUUUGCUUUUCUCUUUCAUUCUUGUGAAGUUAGAGUCAGUGCCGAUGUUAUAUAUGGAGUGGUAAUUCCUGUCGAGAAAAUGAUUGAUAUUAAUAAAGAAGGGGGAGAUUUGGUAGCGUGGCCAUGGGGGUAAGAAAGCCCCGUGGUUGAGAUAACAUUAGACUCUUAACGAUGAGGCCAUCAGGAAUAUAGAAGAGUUUAGAGGGAACAAAGAAGGGUGAUUCAGGAGGCUCCAUGCAGUCUCCGGUUUCUUGUUCUCCAGCUGGUUUCUUGUUCUCCAGCCAUUAAGGCAUGGAAGUUUCUGUGUGUUUGCUGUUGUUGUUAUAUGCAAAGCUGUUUGACCGAUGAAAAGUUGUUUUGAAAAGAACUGCUGUGGAAAGAAGGGAAUAAGAGGGGAGCCUGCCCUCAAGAUAAAAAAAAAGGCAACGCGAUGUGAUGAAGCUUUAUGUCAUCAAUAGAGAAGCAGAAAGAAGGAAUGAAAAGGAACAGGCUAGCAGAACGGAGACCAGGACGGGAACAGGCACAUUGAUUGCCUCAUGAAGAUGGGUUCGGCCAAACUCAGCAAACCGCUCAAAGAAGCUCCUACAGAAAGUCGCUGGAAACAGGUGCACUGGAGCUGCGAAGAAGCUAAGUGGACCCGCGCACACAACUGCCCCUUG